This 253-nucleotide ribosomal RNA is filed under the name uncultured bacterium. RNAcentral's name for it is "partial 16S ribosomal RNA". It matches the Rfam family "Bacterial small subunit ribosomal RNA", at positions 524 to 776 of the family's 1533-position model. The record is from RNAcentral.
UACGGAGGGUGCAAGCGUUAUCCGGAAUGAUUGGGCGUAAAGGGUCCGCAGGUGGCCAUGUAAGUCUGCUGUCAAAGAAUGAGGCUUAACCUCAUCAAGGCAGUGGAAACUACAUAGCUAGAGUACGGUCGGGGUAGAAGGAAUUCCUGGUGUAGCGGUGAAAUGCGUAGAGAUCAGGAAGAACACCGGUGGCGAAAGCGGCUCUCUGGGACGGUACUGACGCUGAGACGCGAAAGCGUGGGGAGCGAACAGG